Molecule: ribosomal RNA, 497 nt
Filed under: uncultured bacterium
Lineage: Bacteria
Description: partial 16S ribosomal RNA
Rfam family: Bacterial small subunit ribosomal RNA
Source: RNAcentral
GAUGAACGCUGGCGGCGUGCCUAAUACAUGCAAGUCGAGCGAACAGACGAGGAGCUUACUCCUCUGACGUUAGCGGCGGACGUGUUAGUAACACGUGGAUAACCUACCUAUAAGACUGGGAUAACUUCGGUAAACCGUAGCUAAUACCGGAUAACAUUUUGAACCGCAUGGUUCAACAGUUCAAGACGGUCUUGCUGUCACUUAUAGAUGGAUCCGCGUCGCAUUAGCUAGUUGGUAAGGUAACGGCUUACCAAGGCAACGAUGCGUAGCCGACCUGAGAGGGUGAUCGGCCACACUGGAACUGAGACACGGUCCAGACUCCUACGGGAGGCAGCAGUAGGGAAUCUUCCGCAAUGGGCGAAAGCCUGACGGAGCAACGCCGCGUGAGUGAAGAAGGUCUUCGGAUCGUAAAACUCUGUUAUUAGGGAAGAACAAAUGUGUAAGUAAAUAGGCACGUCUUGACGGUACCUAAUCAGAAAGCCACGGCUAACUACGUG